CUGGGUGCCAUGUGCAUUUGUUUUGGGAGUGAUACUGAUCUAACUUAUGGAAAUAAUACUAGAUAGAAAGUUAGUGGAUGGAUUCUCUAUCUGAUGAGAGUUUUGGGUAAAACGAAUUCCUAGUUUCUGAGUCUUAUUUUUCCCCUGAUUCAAGAAAACUGUGAAUUACCCAGCCGGUGAAAAACUCGCACAGCUCUGGAUGUGAGUUUAGGACACUGGAUUUCUACCACUCACUUUCUUACUACUUUUCUUGUGCAAGGAUCAUGGCACAAGUUGCAGUUUCCACUCUGCCCAUUGAAGAUGAGGAGUCUGCUGAAGAUGAGGAGACAUUGGAGAGCAGGAUGGUGGUGACAUUCCUAAUGUCAGCUCUUGAGUCCACGAGUCUCUGUUUCACCCAAUCUGGAGUGCAAUGAUGCAGUCGUAGCUAACUGCAGCCUCAACCACCUGGGCUCAAGCAAUUCUCCCGCCUCAGCCUUCCAAGCAUCUGGGACUACAGGUGCACACCAUCCAUGCCCAGCUGAUUUUUGUAUUUUUUUUGUAGAGAUGGGAUCUUGUUAUAUUGCCGAGGCUGGUCUUGAACUCUGGGGCUAAAGGAAUCCUUUCACCAUAGCCUCUCAAGUAGCUGAAACUACAGAUGCAUACCACCAUGCCCAGCUAAUUUUCUCUUAUUUCUUUUUGUUGUUUAAUUGAGGGGGGGGGUCUCACUGUGUUUCCCAGGCUGGUCCUGAACUUCUGGCCUCAAGCAUUUCUCCUGCUUUGACCUCCUAAACUGUUGGGAUUAUGGUUGUGAGCCCCGGCCUCUGUGUCCAGCAAUCACAAGAGGUCUUUAUAAGUGAAAGAGGGAGGUAAGAGAGUCAGAAUUGAAGAUUUGAUGAUGUAAGCACAGGUAACAGAGGGAGAUUUGAAUAUGCUUUGCUUCUGGCUUUGGAGAUGCAGUUAGGGGCCAUGAGCCAAAGAAUAGGGGUGGCUUUCGGAACUGGGAAAGGCAAGGGAACACGUUCUCUCUGGAACCUCCAGA
This 1018-nucleotide long non-coding RNA is filed under the name Homo sapiens (human). RNAcentral's name for it is "HSALNT0149182". The record is from RNAcentral. Lineage: Eukaryota; Metazoa; Chordata; Mammalia; Primates; Hominidae.